GCCUACUCAUCUCAAUGAGGUCCCUUAUAGGAAUCUUGGGGUAGUAUGCCUGGCCUCACAGCUUCAAGUCCCGACUCUGAUGGAUCGAAAUCGAGACAGCAAGAAUCCUAUCAAUAACUUGACCAUCAAAGAGAUGAGUGACAUCCUGUGCUCUCCAACCCCUACCAUUGGCAGUGAUCAAAUUACAGACUCGCAAGUGGUCAUCUAUCUCUUUGUUGAUAUAGGUCGACCAAUGUGAGAGGGGCA
Molecule: long non-coding RNA, 246 nt
Filed under: Elaeis guineensis (African oil palm)
Lineage: Eukaryota; Viridiplantae; Streptophyta; Magnoliopsida; Arecales; Arecaceae
Description: long non-coding RNA (EGUI_LNC045226)
Source: RNAcentral